Molecule: unclassified non-coding RNA, 3063 nt
Filed under: Hevea brasiliensis (rubber tree)
Lineage: Eukaryota; Viridiplantae; Streptophyta; Magnoliopsida; Malpighiales; Euphorbiaceae
Source: RNAcentral
CAGCUAAUGAUGAAAGCUCGGUGUACAGUGCUUGCAGAGAAAAUUGUUUGGGCCGUGAGGUGUUCCAUCGUCAGGACAGUCAUAGCCUCAAUGCACCACAAAUUUUGGCCUAAUUUUCAUUAUGGUAAAAAGCACGAAAGGCCAUAAAUUUUGAAAGAAAAAUUGUGGAUGAGAUUUUUGUAGUCAGUCCAAAACAAAGAGAGAGUCAUAAUAAGACCGCACAACCAAGAAACUUGAAAAAAAAUAAAGAAAAGAUUUAAUAAGGAAUCGAGAAAACAAUUGGGAAUUGAGGAAAAAUGCUGUUGGUAAGCCAAGGUCCGGGAGGAGCUCUGUCAGCCAGAAGAUGUACUCGCAUAUCCCCUCUUCAAUUCACCCACAAAAAUCCACCUCUUUUCUCUAACAUCACUGGACCAAAAUUCAUAUCCAAGAGACCACCCUUUUAUCCCAAUCUCGCUAAGGUUGAUGGAGGUGUAGAUUCUACCUCUGCAACCAAGCAACCUCUUUCUAACAACAAUUCAGCUCCUCCUCCUCCCCCUUUUAGCAGGGACGACCCUGUUUUCGUGGGUCCAGAUAAUGUUCCUUUGGAAGGCGUCAUCCAGUUCGAGAAGCCCACCUCUUCUUCACGUCUGGACAAAUGGGGUCGAGUGGCUUUAUUUUCUGGUGGAGAUGUAUUGGCUUUGCUUUUGUUCUCUGCAAUUGGGAGAUUUAGCCAUGGCUUCUCUGUUUUUGACUUUGAGACGCUGCGCACUGCUGACCCUUUUAUUGCUGGUUGGUUUUUGGGCGCUUACUUCCUUGGGGGUUAUGGAGAAGAUGGCCGUGGAAUGAAUGGUGUUUCUAAAGCAGUUAUUGCUGCCCUUAAAUCAUGGGCUCUGGGGAUUCCACUGGGAUUAGUCAUAAGGGCAGUAACAUCAGGACACAUUCCGCCGUAUACUUUUAUCUUAGUAACAAUGGGAAGCACUACUGUUUUACUUAUUGGAUGGAGAGCACUAUUAUCGACCAUUCUUCCUAAUAAUGAGAGUAAGAAGGAUGAUGUAUACCGGAGUGGUAGUCCCUUUGAACUAUUUGAGGUAUUCAGUUUUCAUGCUUAAGUAAUGUUUCCACCUUGACCUAUGCUAGUUCUUGGUGAAGAAAUUGUUAUUUUCGUUUUUGGGUAAUACUUGCAAAUCAUUUCAGAUGGAGAUGCUUGCUGUACUCCAUAAGAGCUUUCAUUAUGAAGAAACUGCAAAUUUCUGUUUUAUUUCUUUGUAUAAUGAUUUGACCUCUGCAAGCAUAAUUGUUUGUUCUAGCAUUUAAAAAAAAUGAAUAUUUUCAAUUACAUUUUUCAAAAUUUCAUAAGUGCAGCGUGUUCAACAAGACUUGAAAAACAUAUUGGCUGCUUCUUUCAUUCUUCUUUAUUUUAAAAUUGCAUGUCCUUGCAUGUGUUUUAUUUGUUUCUUUGGUGGCUUUGAGUUGGCUUUUAUGCAUCUUCUAAUACUUUGCGAUGUUGAUUGCUAAUAUUACUAAUGGUUGCAGUUGCUCACAUCAUUAGUACGGAGGUGGUGAUUAUGAUAGCUUGCGUGAUGUUAUUUAUUUUCUCUCAAGGCAUCAACUUUUUCUGUUUUUUGACUUCAUACUCUUUGUAGUUACCAGCUACGAAUUUAACAGGUAUGACAAAACUCCUGGAUUGAUGUUAAUCAUAUAUGCUCAUUGAAUCUUGAAUUUCAAUAUUUUUCUUGUGCUUCCCUUUGAAUGUAUUCUUUUUGUUGCUGUUCAAUUUUAAGAUAUAAAAAAUGGCAUAUCAAGUUUAAGUGCCAGAGAUCAUUUAGAUUGGUUUAUACCAAACUCUUGAGUCUUAUUGUUAUGAACUCUGGUUGACCUAAACAUAUUCUAUGGAAAACUGCUGUAAAAUAUGAAGACUGUGGACUUGUUCACUUGUGAAAACUAUAGUAGUUUAAUGAAAAAGUUCUUUGAGAAAACUAAAAAACAAAAGUUAUGUGUUCUGAUAUGUUAGUUUUCGAAAAUUUAGCUAUGAUUCCAUUGUUUUCUUUUAUAGUAAGAGUCUUGUUUUCCAAAUGGAAAAUAAUGACUUGUCAAUAAUCAAAAUUAUACUAUAAUUUUUUCAUAAUUAAAAUUGAAUGAUUAUUUAGGAAAAUAUUUAUUUACGGUAAUAAGGUCAUUUAUACUGCUGUAAAAUAAAUGAAUAACACAUAUUAAAAAAUUUAAAAGUAAAAUAAGUUUCUAAGUAUAUUUUAUAAUUAUUUUUUUAAUUAUGAAAGAUAUGAAUUUUUUUAAUUAGAAAACUCUUGUAUAAUAUUGAAAACAUACUAUAGUUGAAGCAUAUUCAAAGUAGGAGCCUGUAGUGUUUAAGCUGCCUCUGGAUAGGCAAAGUUUUCCAUCAUUUUGAGAAUUUUCGGAAGCACAAUUAUUUAUCAUACAUAAGCCUAUUAGUAUUAUCACAAGCGAAUGUUGUUAAAUGAGAUCAAAUGAUUGAAUGUUGUUAAACGAUAUCAACUAUCAUUUUAAUUUUAUCAGCAUGGUGUUAUUUCUACAAUGCAAUACAAGGCCUAAAAGAAAGAGAAAUUACAUUCCCAAUAGUUUACUGUAUGCAUGAUUUUCAGCAAUUACCAUCUCUACAAUAAAUAUAUGGAUAGCCAAGUAUCGUAUAGAAUCAGAAAAGGUAAGGCUAUGGAUAAAGCUUGAGGUUGUUGGGCUAGUUUUGCCAUGAGAAGGGUGUCAAGAUCAUGGUUCAUAAUUUCUUUUUCCUCUUCACUUACCAGGGAUAAUAAAUUCAUUAUAUUUCUUCACAUUUUGUUUUUUCCUGGUGAAGGUUGUGUCGUGUAAUGUCGCAUAUCGUCUCUGCCUUCUAGGGCCAUGUAUGGGAAACAAAAGUGUGCAUGAGAAAUUGGGUGAUGUAUAUUUAGCAUGUAUGAACUACCCCCUUAGGGUAAAAAAAUGGAUAUUUUAUUCUGAUUCUGCUGCUGAUGCCGGAACAGAUGUCUGGAAUGUUUGUCUGAUUCGUCUAUUGUCUAAAAUGAUGCUGAUGCAUAGGGGGCACGUACCUUGAUAACUCAGUUUUGCUUUUUG